CAGCCGCCGCGGUAAAACGAAGGGGGCUAGCGUUGCUCGGAAUUACUGGGCGUAAAGGGAGCGUAGGCGGAUCGUUUAGUCAGGGGUGAAAUCCCGGGGCUCAACCUCGGAACUGCCUUUGAUACUGGCGAUCUUGAGUAUGGGAGAGGUGUGUGGAACUCCGAGUGUAGAGGUGAAAUUCGUAGAUAUUCGGAAGAACACCAGUGGCGAAGGCGACACACUGGCCCAUUACUGACGCUGAGGCUCGAAAGCGUGGGGAGCAAACAGGAUUAGAUACCCGCGUAGUCCCUGUCUCUUAUAA
RNAcentral lists this ribosomal RNA (301 nucleotides) under uncultured bacterium. RNAcentral's name for it is "partial 16S ribosomal RNA". It matches the Rfam family "Bacterial small subunit ribosomal RNA", at positions 509 to 809 of the family's 1533-position model. The record is from RNAcentral.